Molecule: ribosomal RNA, 429 nt
Filed under: uncultured bacterium
Lineage: Bacteria
Description: bacterial SSU rRNA
Rfam family: Bacterial small subunit ribosomal RNA
Source: RNAcentral
GGACCCGCACAAGCGGUGGAGCAUGUGGCUUAAUUCGAUGCAACGCGAAGAACCUUACCUGGGCUUGACAUGUUAGUCGUAGAUUUGUGAAAGCUUAUCGUCACUUCGGGUGGACUAUCACAGGUGCUGCAUGGCUGUCGUCAGCUCGUGUCGUGAGAUGUUGGGUUAAGUCCCGUAACGAGCGCAACCCCUAUGAACUGUUGCCAGCGGAUAAUGCCGGGGACUCUGUUCAGACUGCCCAGAUUAACUGGGAGGAAGGAGGGGAUGACGUCAAGUCAGUAUGGCCCUUACGCCCAGGGCUGCACACGUGCUACAAUGUCCAGUACAAUGUGAACCGAUGCCGCGAGGUGGAGGAAAUCUUGAAAACUGGGCUCAGUUCGGAUUGUAGUCUGCAACUCGACUACAUGAAGUUGGAAUCGCUAGUAAUCG